UUGCAUUUGCGAGCACUAAGUGCAGCGAUUUUAUAGUUAAAUUAUUGGCUCAUACGCGACAGAUCCCUUCACUCUUCCUCACAUUUCUCUCAAAAUCCUCAGCCUCCCAUCGACGACUUCUCUCUCUGCGCACACGCAAUGCGCCUUUCCGGCCUCCUGUCUCCGACGGAACAUCUGUUCCCUUCUCCUCGGUUUGAUUUCUCAAUUCUCUCUCUCAAUUGCUCUAUUUCAUGUGUUUGAUUUCCAUAUACAAUUACACACUGACACAAAUACACAGUAGCUCAUCAAAAUUGUUUUUUAAUUGUUGCUAUUUACUAUGAAUUGCUCAUUCGUCUGUUUGGAGCGCAACUGCAUUAAUCGGAAAGGUGUUCGAUCAAAGUAUAGUUUGUUGUAUGUAAUUAAACAGCAGUUCUGCGGAUCGACCUUUACCUUGAAGGACUGUGAUGGUCAUAACUCGGAUGAAAUCAAUGUGAGUUCCGAAUGAUAUAAUUGCCUCAUUCUCAUAUAAUUGUUAUUUAUAGUUUUAGUUGUUUCCUCGUAUUCUAAAGUGAUAUGAUGCGCUUGCGCAUACAGCAUUACUCUUCCGAGCAAAUUAUUUUCUGGAUCAUUGUAUGUUUUAAUUCAGGAUUAGGGAUAGAUAAAGGUAAUUAUUGCAACAUUGAUAAUUCAUUUGGAAAUUGUUUGUGGUCUUGUGGAUGAGGGAUUUGGGCUAGAAGAUAAAGAGAGCUUCAGGAUGAUGAGGAUGAGAGAGAGGAGGCAAGAAUAUGUGUGUGAUAAUGCAGAGGAAUAUGUAACUUUAGCAAGCUUAACUUUAAGAGGUUAUCUAGCACCAGACGCUGAAAAACAAUCUGAUUUUGUUUUCCAAGUGAUCAUACAUUUUGAGGAUGCAAAGCUUGAGCUAGAUGUUGAUGGCUGCAUGACCUUUUGCUGAUUAUUACUCCCUCCGUCCCACAUAAUUUGACCCAGUAUUCCAUUUUGGUCCGUCCCAAAUAAUUUGACCCAUUUCACUUUUACCAUUUUUGGUAGUGGACCUCAUAUUCCACUAACCCAUUCC
Molecule: non-coding RNA, 1054 nt
Organism: Salvia hispanica
Lineage: Eukaryota; Viridiplantae; Streptophyta; Magnoliopsida; Lamiales; Lamiaceae
Source: RefSeq, a predicted model, not a curated record